UAACCGGAUUAGAUACCCUGGUAGUCCACGCCGUAAACGAUGUCAACUAGCCGUUGGGAGCCUUGAGCUCUUAGUGGCGCAGCUAACGCAUUAAGUUGACCGCCUGGGGAGUACGGCCGCAAGGUUAAAACUCAAAUGAAUUGACGGGGGCCCGCACAAGGGGUGGAGCAUGUGGUUUAAUUCGAAGCAACGCGAAGAACCUUACCAGGCCUUGACAUCCAAUGAACUUUCUAGAGAUAGAUUGGUGCCUUCGGGAACAUUGAGACAGGUGCUGCAUGGCUGUCGUCAGCUCGUGUCGUGAGAUGUUGGGUUAAGUCCCGUAACGAGCGCAACCCUUGUCCUUAGUUACCAGCACGUAAUGGUGGGCACUCUAAGGAGACUGCCGGUGACAAACCGGAGGAAGGUGGGGAUGACGUA
Molecule: ribosomal RNA, 417 nt
Filed under: uncultured bacterium
Lineage: Bacteria
Description: bacterial SSU rRNA
Rfam family: Bacterial small subunit ribosomal RNA
Source: RNAcentral